ACUCCUACGGGAGGCAGCAGGUGGGGAAUAUUGCACAAUGGGCGCAAGCCUGAUGCAGCCAUGCCGCGUGUGUGAAAGAAGGCCUUCGGGUUGUAAAGCACUUUCAGUUGUGAGGAAGGUGGUGUCGUUAAUAGCGGCAUCAUUUGACGUUAGCAACAGAAGAAGCACCGGCUAACUCCGUGCCAGCAGCCGCGGUAAUACGGAGGGUGCGAGCGUUAAUCGGAAUUACUGGGCGUAAAGCGCAUGCAGGUGGUUUGUUAAGUCAGAUGUGAAAGCCGGGGCUCAACCUCGGAACUGCAUUUGAAACUGGCAGACUAGAGUACUGUAGAGGGGGUAGAAUUUCAGGUGUAGCGGUGAAAUGCGUAGAGAUCUGAAGGAAUACCGGUGGCGAAGGCGGCCCCCUGGACAGAUACUGACACUCAGAUGCGAAAGCGUGGGGAGCAAACAGGAUUAGAUACCCUGGUAGCACAGAG
This 473-nucleotide ribosomal RNA is filed under the name uncultured bacterium. Its description in RNAcentral is "bacterial SSU rRNA". It matches the Rfam family "Bacterial small subunit ribosomal RNA", at positions 335 to 799 of the family's 1533-position model. The record is from RNAcentral.